This 1208-nucleotide ribosomal RNA is filed under the name Bacillus velezensis. RNAcentral's name for it is "bacterial SSU rRNA". It matches the Rfam family "Bacterial small subunit ribosomal RNA", at positions 1 to 1192 of the family's 1533-position model. Lineage: Bacteria; Bacillati; Bacillota; Bacilli; Caryophanales; Bacillaceae. The record is from RNAcentral.
UUAUCGGAGAGUUUGAUCCUGGCUCAGGACGAACGCUGGCGGCGUGCCUAAUACAUGCAAGUCGAGCGGACAGAUGGGAGCUUGCUCCCUGAUGUUAGCGGCGGACGGGUGAGUAACACGUGGGUAACCUGCCUGUAAGACUGGGAUAACUCCGGGAAACCGGGGCUAAUACCGGAUGGUUGUCUGGACCGCAUGGUUCAGACAUAAAAGGUGGCUUCGGCUACCACUUACAGAUGGACCCGCGGCGCAUUAGCUAGUUGGUGAGGUAACGGCUCACCAAGGCGACGAUGCGUAGCCGACCUGAGAGGGUGAUCGGCCACACUGGGACUGAGACACGGCCCAGACUCCUACGGGAGGCAGCAGUAGGGAAUCUUCCGCAAUGGACGAAAGUCUGACGGAGCAACGCCGCGUGAGUGAUGAAGGUUUUCGGAUCGUAAAGCUCUGUUGUUAGGGAAGAACAAGUGCCGUUCAAAUAGGGCGGCACCUUGACGGUACCUAACCAGAAAGCCACGGCUAACUACGUGCCAGCAGCCGCGGUAAUACGUAGGUGGCAAGCGUUGUCCGGAAUUAUUGGGCGUAAAGGGCUCGCAGGCGGUUUCUUAAGUCUGAUGUGAAAGCCCCCGGCUCAACCGGGGAGGGUCAUUGGAAACUGGGGAACUUGAGUGCAGAAGAGGAGAGUGGAAUUCCACGUGUAGCGGUGAAAUGCGUAGAGAUGUGGAGGAACACCAGUGGCGAAGGCGACUCUCUGGUCUGUAACUGACGCUGAGGAGCGAAAGCGUGGGGAGCGAACAGGAUUAGAUACCCUGGUAGUCCACGCCGUAAACGAUGAGUGCUAAGUGUUAGGGGGUUUCCGCCCCUUAGUGCUGCAGCUAACGCAUUAAGCACUCCGCCUGGGGAGUACGGUCGCAAGACUGAAACUCAAAGGAAUUGACGGGGGCCCGCACAAGCGGUGGAGCAUGUGGUUUAAUUCGAAGCAACGCGAAGAACCUUACCAGGUCUUGACAUCCUCUGACAAUCCUAGAGAUAGGACGUCCCCUUCGGGGGCAGAGUGACAGGUGGUGCAUGGUUGUCGUCAGCUCGUGUCGUGAGAUGUUGGGUUAAGUCCCGCAACGAGCGCAACCCUUGAUCUUAGUUGCCAGCAUUCAGUUGGGCACUCUAAGGUGACUGCCGGUGACAAACCGGAGGAAGGUGGGGAUGACGUCAAAUCA